Long non-coding RNA from Zalophus californianus (California sea lion), 1435 nucleotides. RefSeq lists it as uncharacterized. The transcript is spliced from 3 exons. The record is from RefSeq and is a predicted model, not a curated record. NCBI's taxonomy places the organism in Eukaryota, Metazoa, Chordata, Mammalia, Carnivora, Otariidae.
GCAGAGCCCUGCCCAUUCCCCCCACCCCAACUCCCGGGUCUGUGCCCUCCCUCCACGCAAGGCAAACACAGCCCCCUCUCCGAGCCGCCUGCAUGGGCUUUGGCUAGUCCUGUUUUUGAGUGGAUUACACUGGGCUCCAAAAUUGUUUGGUGUCUUUCUUUUAUGCCUUCGUGUUUUUUAUAGUCAUUUUGAAAUCCUUGGAUGCAUUACAAGAAGACACUAGAAAAGUUACCUAAAGGAAUCUCCAGGACCAUUCCUGCUAACGCUUAGAGCUAUGAGAACCAAUCACUACUUCCUGGAUGCAUUUGGGAGGUGGAUUAGUUUGGGCUGAAACUACACGCGGGUGUUUGACUGAUGGCGGCUUCCCCUCCCACCACCCUACCUUCAUCAAACAGACACGAAAACCAAAAACGUCUCCAGAUAUUGCCAAGUGCCCCCUGGGAGCCGAAAUUGCCCCUGGUUGAGAACCACUGCUCUAGAGAAAAAAGCAGAAGUGACAGUGCAUGACUUCAGAGACUCUCUCUUUUCAACCUCUCACUCUGGGGGAGGCCAGCCACCGGGUUGCCAUGUGGAAAGACCCAUGUGGUGAGGAAGUGAGGCCCUCAGCCAACAGCCAUGUGAGUGAGCUUGGAAGAGGGUCUCCCAGCCCCAGUCAAGCUCUCAGAUCACUGCAUCCCCAGCUGACUUCUUGACUGCAACCUCACGAAGACUUCAAGCCAGAACCACCCAGCUAAGCUGCGCCUGCAGACCUGACCUACAGGAACUGUGAGAUACAAACCUUUGUCAUUUGGCACCACGAAGUGUGGGGUAAUUGGUUGUGCAGCAAGAGAUAACUGAUACAUGUGUUCAUUUCUAUGAUUAUGGUAUGACUCUCCAUUUUAGUAAUCUUCAAUGACAUUCAACAAAUCUUUGUAAUUAUUUCCAGAAAACUCAGUGGAAAUUAUUCCUCAAUACUUUAAGUUUUCAAUGCUGUUGUACUAUUUUCCUUUCUUUCCUUUUCUGUUUGUGACUAGCGAAAUGAGACAGUUGAUUUUGUGUGUUUAUUUCUUUUAAUUUUUUUUAAGUGAUCUGUACAACUCAACGGGGGUCUCAAACUCACAGCCCCAAGAUCGAGAGGCACAUGCUCCAUCAAGUGAGCCAGCUGGAUGCCUCUGUGUGUUUAUUUUAUAUUCAGCAAUUCCAAACAUUUAUCCAUAAUGAUCUGGAGUUUUCUACAUAGAUAACCAUAUUAUAUGUGAAUAAUAAGAGUUCUCUUUUCUUCCCUUUCAAUUCCUAUGAUAAUUUUGCUGGCUAGUAUCUCUAGUACACAAUGAAUAGAACUACUGACAGCAAGAAACUCUCUCUUUUUUAAAAAAAAAAAUAUUUUAUUUAUUUAUUUGACAGAGGGAGAGAGAGAGCACAAGUAGGCAGACAGGCAGGCAGUGGGAGAGGGAGA